This 85-nucleotide transfer RNA is filed under the name Myxococcales bacterium. Its description in RNAcentral is "tRNA-Ser". It matches the Rfam family "tRNA". Rfam says of the family: Transfer RNA (tRNA) molecules are approximately 80 nucleotides in length. Their secondary structure includes four short double-helical elements and three loops (D, anti-codon, and T loops). The record is from RNAcentral. Lineage: Bacteria; Pseudomonadati; Myxococcota; Myxococcia; Myxococcales.
GGAGGGGUGACCGAGUGGUCGAAGGUGCACGAUUGGAAAUCGUGUGUACCUCACGGUACCGAGGGUUCGAAUCCCUCCUCCUCCG